CAAACCAAAGCUGGCGACCGGCGCACGGGUGAGUAACACGUAUCCAACCUGCCUCAUACUCGGGGAUAGCCUUUCGGAAGAAAGAUUAAUACCCGAUGGUAUAAUAAAACCGCAUGGUUUAAUUAUUAAAGAAUUUCGGUUAUCGAUGGGGAUGCGUUCCAUUAGGCAGUUGGUGAGGUAACGGCUCACCAAACCUUCGAUGGAUAGGGGUUCUGAGAGGAAGGUCCCCCACAUUGGAACUGAGACACGGUCCAA
Molecule: ribosomal RNA, 255 nt
Filed under: uncultured bacterium
Lineage: Bacteria
Description: partial 16S ribosomal RNA
Rfam family: Bacterial small subunit ribosomal RNA
Source: RNAcentral